This 467-nucleotide ribosomal RNA is filed under the name uncultured bacterium. RNAcentral describes it as "partial 16S ribosomal RNA". It matches the Rfam family "Bacterial small subunit ribosomal RNA", at positions 28 to 507 of the family's 1533-position model. The record is from RNAcentral.
GAUGAACGCUGGCGGCGUGCUUAACACAUGCAAGUCGAACGGAAAGGCCACUUUCGGGGGGUUCUCGAGUGGCGUACGGGUGCGUAAGACGUGAGUAACCUGCCCUUGCCUGUGGGUUAACUUGCGUUAACUGGGCGUAAUUAAGACUAGUAGCUCCUGCUACCCGGUGGGGGCUGGAGAGUUUCGGGGGUUGGGUAUCGACUAUCGACGUAUCAGCGUGUUGUUAGCUUGUUGGCUUACUAAGGCGUUGACGGGUAGCCGGCCUGUAGGGGUGACCGGCCACAUUGGGACUGAGACACGGCGCAGACGCCGACGGGAGGCAGCAGUGGGGAAUAUUGCACAAUGGGUGCAAGGCUGAUGCAGCAACGCCGUGUGCGGGAGGACUGACUUCGGGUUGUAAACCGAUUUCGCUCAUGACGAAGCACUGUGUGACGGUAGUGGAUAAAGAAGCACCGGCUAACUACGUG